Molecule: ribosomal RNA, 1358 nt
Filed under: Microbacterium sp.
Lineage: Bacteria; Bacillati; Actinomycetota; Actinomycetes; Micrococcales; Microbacteriaceae
Description: bacterial SSU rRNA
Rfam family: Bacterial small subunit ribosomal RNA
Source: RNAcentral
UGCAGUCGAACGGUGAAGCAGAGCUUGCUCUGUGGAUCAGUGGCGAACGGGUGAGUAACACGUGAGCAAUCUGCCCCUGACUCUGGGAUAAGCGCUGGAAACGGCGUCUAAUACCGGAUACGAGCUGCGACCGCAUGGUCAGUAGCUGGAAAGAAUUUCGGUCAGGGAUGAGCUCGCGGCCUAUCAGCUUGUUGGUGAGGUAAUGGCUCACCAAGGCGUCGACGGGUAGCCGGCCUGAGAGGGUGACCGGCCACACUGGGACUGAGACACGGCCCAGACUCCUACGGGAGGCAGCAGUGGGGAAUAUUGCACAAUGGGCGAAAGCCUGAUGCAGCAACGCCGCGUGAGGGAUGACGGCCUUCGGGUUGUAAACCUCUUUUAGCAGGGAAGAAGCGAAAGUGACGGUACCUGCAGAAAAAGCGCCGGCUAACUACGUGCCAGCAGCCGCGGUAAUACGUAGGGCGCAAGCGUUAUCCGGAAUUAUUGGGCGUAAAGAGCUCGUAGGCGGUCUGUCGCGUCUGCUGUGAAAACCCGAGGCUCAACCUCGGGCCUGCAGUGGGUACGGGCAGACUAGAGUGCGGUAGGGGAGAUUGGAAUUCCUGGUGUAGCGGUGGAAUGCGCAGAUAUCAGGAGGAACACCGAUGGCGAAGGCAGAUCUCUGGGCCGUAACUGACGCUGAGGAGCGAAAGGGUGGGGAGCAAACAGGCUUAGAUACCCUGGUAGUCCACCCCGUAAACGUUGGGAACUAGUUGUGGGGUCCAUUCCACGGAUUCCGUGACGCAGCUAACGCAUUAAGUUCCCCGCCUGGGGAGUACGGCCGCAAGGCUAAACUCCAAAGGAAUUGACGGGGACCCGCACAAGCGGCGGAGCAUGCGGAUUAAUUCGAUGCAACGCGAAGAACCUUACCAAGGCUUGACAUAUAGAGGAAACGUCUGGAAACAGUCGCCCCGCAAGGUCUCUAUACAGGUGGUGCAUGGUUGUCGUCAGCUCGUGUCGUGAGAUGUUGGGUUAAGUCCCGCAACGAGCGCAACCCUCGUUCUAUGUUGCCAGCACGUAAUGGUGGGAACUCAUGGGAUACUGCCGGGGUCAACUCGGAGGAAGGUGGGGAUGACGUCAAAUCAUCAUGCCCCUUAUGUCUUGGGCUUCACGCAUGCUACAAUGGCCGGUACAAAGGGCUGCAAUACCGUGAGGUGGAGCGAAUCCCAAAAAGCCGGUCCCAGUUCGGAUUGAGGUCUGCAACUCGACCUCAUGAAGUCGGAGUCGCUAGUAAUCGCAGAUCAGCAACGCUGCGGUGAAUACGUUCCCGGGUCUUGUACACACCGCCCGUCAAGUCAUGAAAGUCGGUAACACCUGAAGCC